UGGAAGAGAGUUCAGCUUAGUGGCGAACGGGUGAGUAACACGUGAGCAACCUGCCUUUCAGUGGGGGACAACAUUUGGAAACGAAUGCUAAUACCGCAUAAGACCACAGUGUCGCAUGGCACAGGGGUCAAAGGAUUUAUCCGCUGAAAGAUGGGCUCGCGUCCGAUUAGCUAGAUGGUGAGGUAACGGCCCACCAUGGCGACGAUCGGUAGCCGGACUGAGAGGUUGAACGGCCACAUUGGGACUGAGACACGGCCCAGACUCC
This 265-nucleotide ribosomal RNA is filed under the name uncultured Eubacteriales bacterium. RNAcentral describes it as "uncultured Clostridiales bacterium partial 16S ribosomal RNA". It matches the Rfam family "Bacterial small subunit ribosomal RNA", at positions 74 to 339 of the family's 1533-position model. Lineage: Bacteria; Bacillati; Bacillota; Clostridia; Eubacteriales. The record is from RNAcentral.